UUAGCUUGUUGGUAGGGUAGUGGCCUACCAAGGCGAUGAUGGGUAGCUGGUCUGAGAGGAUGAUCAGUUACACUGGAACUGGUAUAUGGUUUAGACUCCUACGGGAGGUGGUAGUGAGGAAUUUUGCGCAAUGGGCGAAAGCCUGACGCAGCAACGCCGCGUGAGUGAUGAAGGCCCUCGGGUCGUAAAGCUCUGUCAAGUGGGAAGAAACCGGUUCGUGUUAAUAUCACGUUCCGUUGAUGGUACCACUGAAGGAAGCACCGGCUAACUCCGUGCCAGUAGUUGUGGUAGUACGGAGGGUGCAAGCGUUAUUCGGAAUCACUGGGCGUAAAGGGCGCGUAGGCGGCUUGGUAAGUUAAAUGUGAGGGUUUGGGGUUUGGUUUUGGGGGUGUAUUUAGAAUUGUCAGGCUUGAGUAUGGGAGAGGGAAGUGGAAUUCCUGGUGUAGAGGUGAGGUUUGUGGAUGUUGGGAGGAACACCGGUGGUGAGGGUGACUUCCUGGACCAAUACUGACGCUGAGGCGCGAAGGCGUGGGUAGUAAAUAGGAUUAGAUAUUUUGGUAGUUUACGCAGUAAACGGUGUUCACUAGGUGUAGUGGGUAUUGAUUUUUGUUGUGUUGUGGUUAAUGCAUUAAGUGAACCGCCUGGGGAGUACGGCCGCAAGGCUAAAACUCAAAGGAAUUGACGGGGGCCCGCAUAAGCGGUGGAGCAUGUGGUUUAAUUUGAUGCAAUGUGAAGAAUUUUACCUGGAUUUGACAUUUCGGGAAUUUUGUGGGAGUUUAGAGGUGCCCUUCGGGGAACCCGGUGACAGGUGCUGCAUGGCUGUCGUCAGCUCGUGUUGUGAGAUGUUGGGUUGAGUUUCGCAACGAGCGCAACCCUUAUCUUUAGUUACCAUCAUUUAGUUGGGGACUCUAAAGAUACUGCCCCGGUUAACGGGGAGGAAGGUGGGGAUGACGUCAAGUCCUUAUGGCCCUUAUGUCCAGGGCUACACACGUGCUAUAAUGGGCUGUACAGAGGGUCGCGAUCCCGCGAGGGGGAGCCAAUCCCAAAAAGCAGUUCUUAGUUCGGAUUGGAGUCUGUAAUUUGACUCCAUGAAGUUGGAAUUGCUAGUAAUCGCGGAUCAGCAUGUUGUGGUGAAUAUGUUUUCGGGCCUUGUACACACCGCCCGUCACACCAUGAGAGUUGAUUGUACCGGAAGUUGUUGGGCCAACCUUUUGAGGGGGCAGGUACCGAUGGUAUGAUUGAUGAUUGGGGUGAAGUUGUAAUAGGGUA
RNAcentral lists this ribosomal RNA (1269 nucleotides) under metagenome. RNAcentral describes it as "bacterial SSU rRNA". It matches the Rfam family "Bacterial small subunit ribosomal RNA", at positions 241 to 1498 of the family's 1533-position model. The record is from RNAcentral.